UACGGAGGGUGCAAGCAUUAAUCGGAUUUAUUGGGCGUAAAGGGCGCGUAGGCGGUUAUGUAAGUCAGAUGUGAAAUACCAAAGCUCAACUUUGGUGCUGCAUAUGAAACUACAAGACUAGAGGGAUGGCGGAGAAAACGGAAUUCCACGUGUAGCGGUGAAAUGCGUAGAUAUGUGGAAGAACACCUGUGGCGAAAGCGGUUUUCUAGCUAUUACCUGACGCUGAGGCGCGAGAGCAAGGGGAGCAAACAGG
RNAcentral lists this ribosomal RNA (253 nucleotides) under uncultured bacterium. RNAcentral describes it as "partial 16S ribosomal RNA". It matches the Rfam family "Bacterial small subunit ribosomal RNA", at positions 524 to 776 of the family's 1533-position model. The record is from RNAcentral.